AGGCGCGCAAAUUACCCACUUCAGACUCUGAGAGGUAGUGACGAAAAAUAGCGGCGCCGGGCCUUAACGGGCGUCGGCGAUCGCAAUGAGCUCGGCGAAAAACACCGGCGUUCGCGUUCGGCCUUUGCGGGUCGGGCGUGUCGCGAGUAUCGAACGGAGGGCAAGUCUGGUGCCAGCAGCCGCGGUAAUUCCAGCUCCGUGAGCGUAUGCUUAAGCUGUUGCGGUUAAAAAGCUCGUAGUCAAAAGCAGGCUUUUUGAUCGCAGGCGAGCGCGUGUCCGGGACGCUUCCCGGCGCCGCCGCCGGCCAAGAGGCCAAAGAUCGCGGUCGACGGGCGCGCUUCUCUGCGGAGAGGCGCGCUGCCGGUCGGCUCGCGCUUCGCCCUGACCAAAUCGGAGUGCAUCAGGGCGGGUCGAGCAAAGAGCGCUCGUUCCCGCGAAGGGAACGGGUCGCGAGACCCAGAACGAUGUCGCACGGAACGAAGGAAGAGGGCCGCGGCUUCGCCGCCGGCGCCGAGACAAGCGCGUGGCAAUGAUCGAGAGGGACGGACGGAGGCAUUCGUAUUGCGCCGGGAGAGGUGAAAUUCGUGGAUCGGCGCAAGACGAACCGAAGCGAAGGCGUCUGCCAAGGACGUUUUCUUUGAUCAAGAGCGAAAGUCGGAGGCUCGAAGACGAUCAGAUACCGUCGUAGUUCCGACCGUAAACGAUGCCGACCGCGUCGUCGCCUUCGGACGUUAGAAGCGCGUGCGCCCUUCACUGGGCCUCCGCGCGCCGACCAGGUCGAGGUGGCGGCGCCCUGCGGGAAACCGGAGUGUCCGGGUUCCGGGGGAAGUAUGGUCGCAAAGCUGAAACUUGAAGGAAUUGACGGAAGGGCACCACCAGGAGUGGAGCUGCGGCUUAAUUCGACUCAACGCGGGGAAACUCACCCGGCCCGGACGGCAAAAGGAUUGACAGAUCGAAAGCUCCUUCUCGAUUUGGCGGAUGGUGGUGCAUGGCCGUUCUUAGUCCGUGGAGCGAUUCGUCUGGUCGAUUCCGAUAACGAACGAGACUCGAGUUUGCUUGUUGCUCGGCGCGCCCGGGCCCGGGCGACCGAAGUUCCCUCGGGGACGGAGGCGACCGGGCGCCACAGCGGCGCGGCCAAGGCGAGUACGAACGCUCGCCAACGAUAGAGCUAAUCCCAGAAGGACGGGCGGCGUGAAAGCCGCACGAGAUCGAGCGAUAACAGGUCUGUGAUGCCCUUCGAUGUCC
This 1245-nucleotide ribosomal RNA is filed under the name Trididemnum sp. FL_01BB. RNAcentral's name for it is "bacterial SSU rRNA". It matches the Rfam family "Eukaryotic small subunit ribosomal RNA", at positions 430 to 1482 of the family's 1831-position model. The record is from RNAcentral. Lineage: Eukaryota; Metazoa; Chordata; Ascidiacea; Aplousobranchia; Didemnidae.